Molecule: ribosomal RNA, 1488 nt
Filed under: uncultured Gammaproteobacteria bacterium
Lineage: Bacteria; Pseudomonadati; Pseudomonadota; Gammaproteobacteria
Description: partial 16S ribosomal RNA
Rfam family: Bacterial small subunit ribosomal RNA
Source: RNAcentral
AGAGUUUGAUCCUGGCUCAGAUUGAACGCUGGCGGCAGGCCUAACACAUGCAAGUCGAGCGGUAACAGAAAAUAGCUUGCUAUUUUGCUGACGAGCGGCGGACGGGUGAGUAAUGCUUGGGAACAUGCCUUGAGGUGGGGGACAACAGUUGGAAACGACUGCUAAUACCGCAUAAUGUCUACGGACCAAAGGGGGCUUCGGCUCUCGCCUUUAGAUUGGCCCAAGUGGGAUUAGCUAGUUGGUGAGGUAGUGGUUCACCAAGGCAACGAUCCCUAGCUGGUUUGAGAGGAUGAUCAGCCACACUGGAACUGAGACACGGUCCAGACUCCUACGGGAGGCAGCAGUGGGGAAUAUUGCACAAUGGGCGAAAGCCUGAUGCAGCCAUGCCGCGUGUGUGAAGAAGGCCUUCGGGUUGUAAAGCACUUUCAGUCAGGAGGAAAGGGUGUGAGUUAAUACCUCAUAUCUGUGACGUUACUGACAGAAGAAGCACCGGCUAACUCCGUGCCAGCAGCCGCGGUAAUACGGAGGGUGCGAGCGUUAAUCGGAAUUACUGGGCGUAAAGCGUACGCAGGCGGUUUGUUAAGCGAGAUGUGAAAGCCCCGGGCUCAACCUGGGAACUGCAUUUCGAACUGGCAAACUAGAGUGUGAUAGAGGGUGGUAGAAUUUCAGGUGUAGCGGUGAAAUGCGUAGAGAUCUGAAGGAAUACCGAUGGCGAAGGCAGCCACCUGGGUCAACACUGACGCUCAUGUACGAAAGCGUGGGGAGCAAACGGGAUUAGAUACCCCGGUAGUCCACGCCGUAAACGAUGUCUACUAGAAGCUCGGAACCUCGGUUCUGUUUUUCAAAGCUAACGCAUUAAGUAGACCGCCUGGGGAGUACGGCCGCAAGGUUAAAACUCAAAUGAAUUGACGGGGGCCCGCACAAGCGGUGGAGUAUGUGGUUUAAUUCGAUGCUACACGAAGAACCUUACCAGGGUUUGAAAUCAUUUCAAAACUCCUUGAAAGAGGAGCCUCCUUCGGGAUGGAAUGACAGGUGGUGCAUGGCUGUCGUCAGCUCGUGUUGUGAAAUGUCGAGUUAAGUCUCGUAACGAGCGCAACCCAUGUCUCUUGUUGCUCACUGAGUGCUUAAGAGAGACUGCCGACCAACAUCGGAGGAAGGUGUGGAUGAUGUCAAGUCUGCAUGCCCCUUACAUCCUGGGCUACACACGUACUACAAUGGUAAGGACAAUGAGCUGCGAUCCUGCGAAGGCUAGCCAAUCUCAAAAACCUUAUCUCAGUUCGGAUUGCACUCUGCAACUCGAGUGCAUGAAGGUGGAAUCGCUAGUAAUCGCUGGUCAGCUAUACAGCGGUGAAUACGUUCCCGGGUCUUGUACACACUGCCCGUCACACCAUGGAAGUCGACUCUUCCCUAAGUCGUUACUCGAACCCAUUGGGACGAGGAUGCCGAAGGCAGGGUUGGUGACUAGGGUGAAGUCGUAACAAGGUAACC